GCGUUGGUGGUUUAGUGGUAAAAUUCAUCGUUGCCAGCCGUUGCCGGUCCGCCAGGAGUCGCCUCCUCCCAGGAGCCCUCCCAGGACCUCAACACCACGUCUCGAUGAGCCCCGGGUUCGAUUCCCGGCCGACGCA
This 136-nucleotide transfer RNA is filed under the name Neofusicoccum parvum UCRNP2. It matches the Rfam family "tRNA". Rfam says of the family: Transfer RNA (tRNA) molecules are approximately 80 nucleotides in length. Their secondary structure includes four short double-helical elements and three loops (D, anti-codon, and T loops). Lineage: Eukaryota; Fungi; Ascomycota; Dothideomycetes; Botryosphaeriales; Botryosphaeriaceae. The record is from Rfam by way of RNAcentral.